This 606-nucleotide ribosomal RNA is filed under the name Triticum aestivum (bread wheat). Its description in RNAcentral is "partial small subunit ribosomal RNA". The record is from RNAcentral. Lineage: Eukaryota; Viridiplantae; Streptophyta; Magnoliopsida; Poales; Poaceae.
UAUGGUUGCAAACCAUUAGGAUGUAAGUGGGUGUUCAAGAAGAAGCUUAGGCCCGAUGGUACGAUUGAAAAGUACAAGGCUAGGCUUGUGGCCAAGGGCUAUGACCAGAAAGAAGAGGAAGAUUACUUCGACACUUAUUCACCUGUAGCUAGACUGACCACCAUUCGAGUAUUACUCUCGUUGGCAGCCUCGCAUGGUCUUCUCGUCCACCAGAUGGAUGUUAAGACGGCUUUUCUGAAUGGAGAGCUAAAAGAGGAAAUCUACAUGCAACAGCCAGAUGGCUUUGUGAUAGAUGGUCAGGAAAGAAAGGUGUGUAGGUUGCUGAAAUCUUUAUAUGGCCUGAAGCAAGCACCUAAGCAAUGGCAUGAUAAGUUUAAUACAAGUUUGACAUCUGUUGGUUUCGUUGCUAAUGAGGCUGACAAAUGUGUAUACUAUCGCCAUGGUGGGGGUGAAGGAGUUAUACUGUGCUUGUAUGUUGAUGACAUACUGAUAUUCGGAACCAACCUCAAAGUCAUUGAGGAGGUCAAGUCGUUUUUGUCUCAGAACUUUGAGAUGAAAGACCUUGGUGUGGCUGAUGUUAUCUUGAACAUCAAGCUACUGAGAGAU